This 497-nucleotide ribosomal RNA is filed under the name uncultured bacterium. RNAcentral's name for it is "partial 16S ribosomal RNA". It matches the Rfam family "Bacterial small subunit ribosomal RNA", at positions 28 to 507 of the family's 1533-position model. The record is from RNAcentral.
GAUGAACGCUGGCGGCGUGCCUAAUACAUGCAAGUCGAGCGAACAGAUGAUGAGCUUGCUCCUCUGACGUUAGCGGCGGACGGGUGAGUAACACGUGGAUAACCUACCUAUAAGACUGGGAUAACUUCGGGAAACCGGAGCUAAUACCGGAUAAUAUAUUGAACCGCAUGGUUCAAUAGUGAAAGACGGCUUUGCUGUCACUUAUAGCUGGAUCCGCGCCGCAUUAGCUAGUUGGUAAGGUAACGGCUUACCAAGGCAACGAUGCGUAGCCGACCUGAGAGGGUGAUCGGCCACACUGGAACUGAGACACGGUCCAGACUCCUACGGGAGGCAGCAGUAGGGAAUAUUCGGCAAUGGGCGAAAGCCUGACGGAGCAACGCCGCGUGAGUGAUGAAGGUCUUCGGAUCGUAAAACUCUGUUAUUAGGGAAGAACAAAUGUGUAAGUAACUAUGCACGUCUUGACGGUACCUAAUCAGAAAGCCACGGCUAACUACGUG